This is a non-coding RNA of Schistosoma rodhaini, 46 nucleotides long. The record is from Rfam. Lineage: Eukaryota; Metazoa; Platyhelminthes; Trematoda; Strigeidida; Schistosomatidae.
GCACUGCUGAGGAGUCCCACAAGAGGACGAUACGGCCGUCCAGUGC